RNAcentral lists this small RNA (189 nucleotides) under Beauveria bassiana. Its description in RNAcentral is "Manganese sequence". It matches the Rfam family "Manganese Mn2+ riboswitch aptamer (yybP-ykoY)". Rfam says of the family: This RNA was originally discovered in E. coli during a large scale screen and was named SraF. The family was later found to exist upstream of related families of protein genes in many bacteria, including the the yybP and ykoK genes in B. subtilis. RNAcentral also lists the same sequence under 1 other name. The record is from RNAcentral. Lineage: Eukaryota; Fungi; Ascomycota; Sordariomycetes; Hypocreales; Cordycipitaceae.
GCGCCCGUCGUUGGGGAGUAGCCGAUUUCUGCCACAGGCAGAAAUGUACAUGUCAACAUACUCGUUAUAUCCGCUCCUGAGAUUAACGUGGCAUGUACGCCUCAGAGUUCUGAGUAGGCGAGACCAUAGGCACGCGCCAUCGUAAAGUUGGGGAUGGUUUGCGUGUAUAUGGAUAUCCCCAACUGAGGC